GAGGGUAUAGCUCAAGUGGUAGAGCAUGUGUUUAGCACGCAUGAGGUCAUGGGUUCAAUCCCCAUUACCUUUC
Molecule: transfer RNA, 73 nt
Filed under: Camelus bactrianus (Bactrian camel)
Lineage: Eukaryota; Metazoa; Chordata; Mammalia; Artiodactyla; Camelidae
Also listed under: 2 other names
Rfam family: tRNA
About the family: Transfer RNA (tRNA) molecules are approximately 80 nucleotides in length. Their secondary structure includes four short double-helical elements and three loops (D, anti-codon, and T loops).
Source: Rfam by way of RNAcentral